RNAcentral lists this ribosomal RNA (292 nucleotides) under uncultured bacterium. RNAcentral describes it as "partial 16S ribosomal RNA". It matches the Rfam family "Bacterial small subunit ribosomal RNA", at positions 505 to 796 of the family's 1533-position model. The record is from RNAcentral.
GUGUCAGCCGCCGCGGUAAUACGAAUCGUCCAAACGUUGUUCGGAUUCACUGGGUUUAAAGGGCGCGUAGGCGGUGCGUUAAGUCGGCGGUGAAAUACUUCGGCUCAACCGGAGAAUUGCCGCUGAAACUAGCGUGCUCGAGGAAGGUAGAGGUGCGUGGAACUUCCGGUGGAGCGGUGAAAUGCGUUGAUAUCGGAAGGAACACCUGUGGCGAAAGCGAUGCACUGGACCUUUUCUGACGCUGAGGCGCGAAAGCCAGGGGAGCGAACGGGAUUAGAAACCCCGGUAGUCC